UACAGAGGGUGCUAGCGUUGUUCGGAAUCAUUGGGCGUAAAGGGCGUGUAGGCGGUUUGCUAAGUCAGGUGUGAAAUCCCCGGGCUUAACCUGGGAAUUGCGCUUGAAACUAGCGGGCUUGAGUGUGGCAGAGGGGGGUGGAAUUCCACGUGUAGCAGUGAAAUGCGUAGAGAUGUGGAGGAACACCGAUGGCGAAGGCAGCCCCCUGGGCUAACACUGACGCUCAUGCACGAAAGCGUGGGGAGCAAACAGG
RNAcentral lists this ribosomal RNA (253 nucleotides) under uncultured bacterium. RNAcentral describes it as "partial 16S ribosomal RNA". It matches the Rfam family "Bacterial small subunit ribosomal RNA", at positions 524 to 776 of the family's 1533-position model. The record is from RNAcentral.